Molecule: small nuclear RNA, 106 nt
Organism: Myodes glareolus (Bank vole)
Lineage: Eukaryota; Metazoa; Chordata; Mammalia; Rodentia; Cricetidae
Source: RefSeq, a predicted model, not a curated record
GUGCUUGCUUCAUCAGCACAUUUACUGCAUUGGAACAGCACAGAGAAGAUUAGCAUAGCCUCUGUGCAGGGGUAACACACAAAUUUGUGAAGGGUUCCAUAUUUUU